Molecule: long non-coding RNA, 3253 nt
Organism: Manis javanica (Malayan pangolin)
Lineage: Eukaryota; Metazoa; Chordata; Mammalia; Pholidota; Manidae
Source: RefSeq, a predicted model, not a curated record
UUAUUCCCAUCAACAACAUCUGCAGCCCAGGAGCACACUUUGACUUCAUGACCUUUAGCACCCAGGGUCAUAUUUGCAAGAAGCUCCAUUUAAACCCAUUAGGUGCCAAAGGUACACUCUGUAAAAGCCAGUCAAUGUGCGUCCAGGAGCACAGUUCCCUGAGGCCCCUGCUCUUUCUCCCUUCUGGGAGGUUUGUAAAGAAACAACUCAGUGGUGCUGCUAAGAACUUUGGCACCUCAGCUGAGGAAUUUGCUGUCAGGAGGUGCAUCCACUCAACAGCCAGGCAUGCAGCAGCCAGUGGCCCUGGAGUCCCACCGCCCGCGAACCCAGGCUGCACCAUCCAGUUUCUUCAACUUGGGUACCAUCAAAAGAAGAAACUUCUAACUGCAGGCCCAACUCUGAUUCUGCACAUCAGAGAAGGGAAUCCAGAAACUUCUCUGCAGGGACUAGACCAGUUCCCCUGCCCAGAGAAGGCUCUGUGAUUUAAGUCAGCAUGUGGUUGACUCCCAAGCUCAGUCUGGGACCUGCUGGCACAGCCUGGGUGGGAGCAGUUGGCCAGGAGGAAUCUGAGAUCCCAAAGAGUUGAUUACCAGACGAGGAGUCAACACGAACCAUCCCAAGACCCCUCAGGUGGCACCAGGAAGAUGGAAUUGGCACAUAACUCCGAGAAGUUACAAGUCCCUGCAUUUCCUGCCCUGACCCUCACAUUCCUCUGCCAAUAAUAUAUCACCCAUCCCUCUGCCCAAUGGGUUAGGCAGAUUUAGGGAAGGUCCCUGCCUUCUCGUUGGGCUUCCCUUCUGAUAAUAAAGCUUUCUCUGCUUCAAAAAGAAAAGGAAUGGACCUCCAGUGGAUAGGCAGAGUCAAAAGACUGAAGCAUAUUCAAAAGACCUGUGUGAAAACAUCACCCCCACACCUACAGUUACAAAUCCCUAAGUUCUAUCCAAACAGCAUGUUCUGCUGGAGCUGAACUCAUUCACUCAAAACUUAGGAAGUGUUUUGCUCUGUACAGUGCUCGGGUUUGUAGAAUGCUAAAAGUAGACAUGAAGCAUUUACAUAAUCAUAGUUUUUCAUGCCCCCAUUGGAAGUGGUAGACUACUUGCUAAUAGAAUAUCAGUAGGUGAAAGAGAACAAAGGUCAAUCAAUGAUGUUGCUGAACCUUGUAACAUUAAAAAAUUCAGAAUUCUUUAGACAUUUUCCAACAAAUUUUCUCCUGAACUAAAGUUACUCAGCCUCCAUUCUCUUAAAGAGUGUGGUGAGUGAAACUUUGUUAGGCACUUCUCAUGUGCUGGACCCCAUGUGAGUCACUUCACAACUCUUCAAGGGGCAAGCCUCUUGUGAUGAGAAAUAAUCAGAAAUGCCUGUUGUUUCUAGGCUCGUCACUGACGGCAGAAUAUGGGAUCCGUCCCACUGAACUCUGGCCCACACUAUGUGGCAAGAUGGACUCCUAGAGAAGUGAUUGGUUAUGAUGGUUCACAUUUUGAAUAAUGCCCAUGUGCCACGUACUUGGAUGUAUCAGCUCCUCUAAAAUUCAUGACCACCCCGCAGAGGCCCCCUACUCUGACCCCAACAUUGUAGAUGGAGGGACAGAAGCUUGGCACCAAGUGCCUUCCAAAGGCCUGUGUGGAGCCGGUUGUGUGAGACUGGAGACCAAGCCCUGGGGGCCUGGGUCCCUCCAAGGGCCUAGUGACUCUGCCAAGGCCAAACAGAUAGCAGCACCCACUGUGGCCCACAUUUAGAGCCCCUGCCGGCCAAGAGUGAGAAAGGGGAAUUCACCUUCGGCUUCUCAACCCUGGUGUGGACUUGGCCGGGCACUCAGCAAGGCCUGGAGCUGCUCCAGCAGCUUCAAACCACCGGCGAGCUUCCAGGGCACCACAGAGAGAGCUCAGAUGCUUCCAGAGAAAAUUCCACACAGGGGCUCUGCCAGCAGAAGGAGAGGCUUUAUGGGAUGGUGGGGGUGCAGUGCCAUGGGGGGCGAGGCAUCGACUGUGUGGUUUGGACCGUGGGCAAAAGGUUGAGGGUCCUGCUCCUCUGCCCCAAUAUCCAAGUAUAUUGGAUAUAGGGAAAGUGUGUCCUUUCACAACAGAGCCACAGUCUUGCUAAGCACUAAGCCAGAACAGAUUUGCUGAGGCACAGACCCCCUCACUUGUUGAGCCCCUCCCUCUUCUUGUUGGGGCCUUGGUGUUGCUGUCCCCUUGCAGGUACACAACUGGACAUGUAAUGUGGGGUCUCUCCCAACAGUUGAUGACCUCUGUAAUUAUGCGACUGUAGCAAACAGCCACUGCGUGGGACGUGGGUUCUGAUCUCCUAGUGGGAAGUGUUUUAUGGAGAUGAUCUCAUUGCAGACUCGGUUUCCUUGAACAGCCAUCUCUGCCAGGGUGGUUUCUUCCCGGCCCUGUGGGUGCACCUGUGUGAACAGUCUUGGCAGCCUGAACACAUGCCAUCUCUACCUGACAUGUACCACUCUUGGUGCUGUAGUUCUAGAACUGAUCUGGAAAUGCUUGCAGCCUGUCUCCCUGUGGGGCUCCGGCAGUGAGUUCCUCUACGCUGAGGACGAGAUGUCUUCCAAUCCCAGGAGUGAGGGCUCAGGGAGUUCACAGUCACCACUCCUUGGGCAAAGGGUGAAAAGCUGUCAUGGUGGGCACACAUUCCAGCCCCUGAGUGUGCACACAUUUAAUGGUGUCAUCUCCCAGAAUAAUCCCCAGCAAAGUGUGCCUGACACCCAGGAUGAGGCCAACCCACAGACAUGGCAGGUCCUUACAGCAAAGGAUGUUUGCCAAGGAGGCUGGAAUUUUUCUGUGAGGAUCUGUAAUUUGUCCUUAAAGGGAAAAUUCUCUAGAUUUCAGUUUAAUAACUGAUGCGAGUGUUAGAAAAUUACAAAUGAGACAUUAAAUAGUAACAGCUUUUCCCAGAGACAAUGGCAGCUUCCGCUGUGACAAGAGACAUCUGAACAGCGCAAGCCACAGAGAGACACUGUCCACUGCCCUUCAGGAGCAGCUGCAUUGGGCCUCCCACCUUCAAAUGUCCUGUAGGUGUCUAGUGCCCUGAAUUUCAAAGUGUGGGGUUGUCUUGAGGAGGAAGCAAUGGCAGCAGGAGGUCACACAGACGGGGGAAUCCUGGCUCCUGCCACUCACCGCUGUAGGAAAAGUUCAAGUUCUUGCAUGGACUCUGCUUGUUCACCUAUAAAAUCAGAUUGUUCUUGAGUAACAAACCAACUGAAAAUUUGGUGGCUGUAACAAUAAUGUUUUUUUUUUUA